CCUACGGGUGGCAGCAGUGAGGAAUAUUGGUCAAUGGCCGGAAGGCUGAACCAGCCAAGUCGCGUGAGGGAAUAAGGCCCUAUGGGUCGUAAACCUCUUUUGUCAGGGAGCAAAGGCGUUUACGAGUGGACGAAAGGAGAGUACCUGAAGAAAAAGCAUCGGUUAACCCCGUGCCAGCAGCCGCGGUAAUACGGUGGAUGCGAGCUUUAUCCGGAUUUAUUGGGUUUAAAGGGUGCUUGGGCGGAGUGUAAAGUUAGCGGUAAAAUUUCGGGGCUAAACCCCGUCGUGCCGUUGAAACUGACACCCUUGAGUGAGUGAGAGGUAAGCGGAAUGAGUGGUGUAGCGGUGAAAUGCAUAGAUAUCGCGCAGAACUCCGAUUGCGAAGGCAGCGUACCGGCGCCAGACUGACGCUGAGGCACGAAAGCGUGGGGAUCGAACAGGAUUAGAUACCCGAGUAGUC
This 460-nucleotide ribosomal RNA is filed under the name uncultured bacterium. RNAcentral's name for it is "partial 16S ribosomal RNA". It matches the Rfam family "Bacterial small subunit ribosomal RNA", at positions 338 to 795 of the family's 1533-position model. The record is from RNAcentral.